GAUGAGCGCUGGCGGCGUGCCUAAUACAUGCAAGUCGAGCGAACGGACGAGAAGCUUGCUUCUCUGAUGUUAGCGGCGGACGGGUGAGUAACACGUGGAUAACCUACCUAUAAGACUGGGAUAACUUCGGGAAACCGGAGCUAAUACCGGAUAAUAUUUUGAACCGCAUGGUUCAAAAGUGAAAGACGGUCUUGCUGUCACUUAUAGAUGGAUCCGCGCUGCAUUAGCUAGUUGGUAAGGUAACGGCUUACCAAGGCAACGAUGCAUAGCCGACCUGAGAGGGUGAUCGGCCACACUGGAACUGAGACACGGUCCAGACUCCUACGGGAGGCAGCAGUAGGGAAUCUUCCGCAAUGGGCGAAAGCCUGACGGAGCAACGCCGCGUGAGUGAUGAAAGUCUUCGGAUCGUAAAACUCUGUUAUUAGGGAAGAACAUAUGUGUAAGUAACUGUGCACAUCUUGACGGUACCUAAUCAGAAAGCCACGGCUAACUACGUGCCAGCAGCCGCGGUAAUACGUAGGUGGCAAGCGUUAUCCGGAAUUAUUGGGCGUAAAGCGCGCGUAGGCGGUUUUUUAAGUCUGAUGUGAAAGCCCACGGCUCAACCGUGGAGGGUCAUUGGAAACUGGAAAACUUGAGUGCAGAAGAGGAAAGUGGAAUUCCAUGUGUAGCGGUGAAAUGCGCAGAGAUAUGGAGGAACACCAGUGGCGAAGGCGACUUUCUGGUCUGUAACUGACGCUGAUGUGCGAAAGCGUGGGGAUCAAACAGGAUUAGAUACCCUGGUAGUCCACGCCGUAAACGAUGAGUGCUAAGUGUUAGGGGGUUUCCGCCCCUUAGUGCUGCAGCUAACGCAUUAAGCACUCCGCCUGGGGAGUACGACCGCAAGGUUGAAACUCAAAGGAAUUGACGGGGACCCGCACAAGCGGUGGAGCAUGUGGUUUAAUUCGAAGCAACGCGAAGAACCUUACCAAAUCUUGACAUCCUUUGACAACUCUAGAGAUAGAGCCUUCCCCUUCGGGGGACAAAGUGACAGGUGGUGCAUGGUUGUCGUCAGCUCGUGUCGUGAGAUGUUGGGUUAAGUCCCGCAACGAGCGCAACCCUUAAGCUUAGUUGCCAUCAUUAAGUUGGGCACUCUAAGUUGACUGCCGGUGACAAACCGGAGGAAGGUGGGGAUGACGUCAAAUCAUCAUGCCCCUUAUGAUUUGGGCUACACACGUGCUACAAUGGACAAUACAAAGGGCAGCGAAACCGCGAGGUCAAGCAAAUCCCAUAAAGUUGUUCUCAGUUCGGAUUGUAGUCUGCAACUCGACUACAUGAAGCUGGAAUCGCUAGUAAUCGUAGAUCAGCAUGCUACGGUGAAUACGUUCCCGGGUCU
RNAcentral lists this ribosomal RNA (1372 nucleotides) under uncultured bacterium. RNAcentral describes it as "bacterial SSU rRNA". It matches the Rfam family "Bacterial small subunit ribosomal RNA", at positions 28 to 1381 of the family's 1533-position model. The record is from RNAcentral.